GAAACAGAAAGCAGGCUAUCACCAGGACACAGAAUCUGCCAGUGCUUUGAUUUGGGACUUCCCAGCCUCUGAAACUAUGAGAAAUAAAUUUCUGUUGUUUAUAAGCUAUCCAGUUAAUAUUUGUCA
This is a long non-coding RNA of Sapajus apella (tufted capuchin), 126 nucleotides long. RefSeq lists it as uncharacterized. The record is from RefSeq and is a predicted model, not a curated record. The transcript has 3 exons. NCBI's taxonomy places the organism in Eukaryota, Metazoa, Chordata, Mammalia, Primates, Cebidae.